AUCGCUUCUCGGCCUUUGGCUCAGAUCAUUAGCAUCUGUUCUUAUCAGUUUAAUAUUCGAUACGCCCCCCAUCGGGGACUACAUAUUAAAUGGAUUUUUCAACAGGGAGCCGGAAAUGGGGCUUGCUCCGUCCGGCUCCACGCAGACGAUCGGUAUUGCAGUAUCUCCGGAAUGGUGCAAACACU
This 185-nucleotide small nuclear RNA is filed under the name Salmo salar (Atlantic salmon). RNAcentral's name for it is "U2 spliceosomal RNA (ENSSSAG00000097689.1)". It matches the Rfam family "U2 spliceosomal RNA". From Rfam's summary of the family: U2 is a small nuclear RNA (snRNA) component of the spliceosome (involved in pre-mRNA splicing). Lineage: Eukaryota; Metazoa; Chordata; Actinopteri; Salmoniformes; Salmonidae. The record is from RNAcentral.